UACGAAGGGUGCAAGCGUUACUCGGAAUUACUGGGCGUAAAGCGUGCGUAGGUGGUUUUUUAAGUCCGUUGUGAAAGCCCUGGGCUCAACCUGGGAAUGGCAGUGGAUACUGGAAAGCUAGAGUGCGGUAGAGGGUAGUGGAAUUCCCGGUGUAGCAGUGAAAUGCGUAGAGAUCGGGAGGAACACCAGUGGCGAAGGCGGCUACCUGGACCAGCACUGACACUGAGGCACGAAAUCGUGGGGAGCAAAACGG
This 253-nucleotide ribosomal RNA is filed under the name uncultured bacterium. Its description in RNAcentral is "partial 16S ribosomal RNA". It matches the Rfam family "Bacterial small subunit ribosomal RNA", at positions 524 to 776 of the family's 1533-position model. The record is from RNAcentral.